Molecule: long non-coding RNA, 783 nt
Organism: Trachemys scripta elegans
Lineage: Eukaryota; Metazoa; Chordata; Testudines; Emydidae
Exons: 3
Source: RefSeq, a predicted model, not a curated record
CCUUGACAAGGUCUAUCUUGAAAAAGUGCAUCUUCCUCAAGAUCAAAUGCCACCAAAUAGCAGUGCUUCCAACAUGAGAUCACUUUGCUUAUUAGCCAAUGUUGUUGAUUUUAUUCCAGGAAGCACAGCAUUUAAAACAACUUGAAAACAUAGAUGCCUUGACAUCUGACAAACUCACAAGGAUAGCCACAUGUUUACUGACUGGCAUUUCCCUCUAGGCAAGGAGCUGGAUCAGGUACUUCAGGAAACCAGCUCUGGCAGCAUACAGGAAAAGAGAGACAGUGAUAUAAUGCACCAAAAGGAUUUUCCUGUCUAUCAGGCAAGAGAGUUGAUUCCUCGCUAGGUGGAGUGCCUACAGAUAUAGAAGCUGGAACUAGUGGUGAGGGGGGUGCUGUCGCACCUUCUGUUUUGAAGUGUUUACGAUCAUAUACAGGGUUUACAGUUUGGUUCAGUGGUUCUCAGCACUCCCACCAUACAAAUUGUUCCAGCACCACUGCCUAGAGACCCCAACUGAAAUCAGGGUCCUACUGUGCUAGGAUCUGUACAUACACAGAGUGUGAAAGAGGCCCUGCCAUGAAGAGCUUACAACAGAGAUGACCAGUACCUGCUGAUAGUGGUGGGGCAGAGUGAGCGCAGCGGCUUCAGCAGAUGAUGCUGAGAAUGCUCAGUCCGUGUGUGCCCUCCCUUCCCUCAUGCAUCAUGUCUGGCUUACAACCUGAUUUGACAAGACAGACAAAGGGUAUGUCUACACUACGGGAUUAAUCUGAAUUUAUAUAAUUCGAA